UUUGAACCGAAUGCUCACCCCUAGGCCAGCCUAUUACAUGAAGUUCCUGACUAAUAAUAUUUCUCUGCCAUCUUUCAGUGGACACAAAAGUUGCCAAUUGUGAACUAAUGAAGCCAACUGAUUUUAACAUCGUGCAGUAUGAGUGGCAUCUAUCUAGGAUACCAACAUCUAAUGGUGAACUCAGCUAGAAAGAGAAAGCUAAUGUAAAUGAGAUGAGAAAUAAUGGGGCACCUAAUAGUUAAAAAUAUGAAAAUUUUGUGAAGAGUAGGAAGACAAAUAAAACUGGAAGAUGAACAAUAAAUGAAGACAAUUCUGGAACCAGAUGAUAGUAACAUAAAGAUUGCAUUUUCUCCAAAGUUCUUUCCUUAUAAAAAACCACUGUUUGCACAACCUUUAGUAAAUAUGCAAGAUGACUGGUGUACCAGCAAAAGAAAAAGUACAAAAAAAAGGACAAAAUAAUCACAUAACCAUGAAGCCACCCUUGCAAUUUUGGACAAGAUAUUCAGGAUUGCAAUUACAUCAUUGCCUCCAGCAUAUGUAAAACUAUCCUAAAGUGUGUCAGAAAAAUGCAACAAUAGAAAUGUAAUAGCAGCAGCAGCAGCAGAAA
Molecule: unclassified non-coding RNA, 607 nt
Filed under: Hevea brasiliensis (rubber tree)
Lineage: Eukaryota; Viridiplantae; Streptophyta; Magnoliopsida; Malpighiales; Euphorbiaceae
Source: RNAcentral